This 84-nucleotide transfer RNA is filed under the name Candidatus Faecaligallichristensenella faecipullorum. Its description in RNAcentral is "tRNA-Leu". It matches the Rfam family "tRNA". From Rfam's summary of the family: Transfer RNA (tRNA) molecules are approximately 80 nucleotides in length. Lineage: Bacteria; Bacillati; Bacillota; Clostridia. The record is from RNAcentral. RNAcentral also lists the same sequence under 1 other name.
GCGGGCGUGGCGGAAUGGCAGACGCGCCAGAUUUAGGAUCUGGUGCCGAGAGGCGUAUGAGUUCGAGUCUCUUCGCCCGCACCA